GAUUUCUGGUACGAUGCCCCUGAUCCGCGGUCUUCGGAUUGUGUGUGUUGGUGUGGCGUCUGCCAUCUUUUGUAAGCGCUGGUCGUUUGGGCCUUUACUGGUUCAGGCGUUUCUCACGUGUUUGCAAGUUUUACUUUGAAAAAAUUAGAGUGUUUAAAGCAGGCAUUUUGCUAUGAAUACAUUAGCAUGGAAUAAUAAUAUAGGACUUCGGUUCUAUUUUGUUGGUUUCUAGUACUGAAGUAAUGAUUGAUAGGGACAGUUGGGGGUGCUAGUAUUCAGCGGCCAGAGGUGAAAUUCUUGGAUUCGCUGAAGACUAACUUAUGCGAAAGCAUU
RNAcentral lists this ribosomal RNA (333 nucleotides) under uncultured Pseudodifflugiidae. RNAcentral describes it as "SSU rRNA". The stretch from base 111 to 333 matches the Rfam family "Eukaryotic small subunit ribosomal RNA", at positions 732 to 955 of the family's 1831-position model. Lineage: Eukaryota; Endomyxa; Gromiida; Pseudodifflugiidae. The record is from RNAcentral.